UGGGCAGCAGCCCGGGGGGGCACAGGCCAUGCUUCUGCUCUGCGCGUGGCCCGGCCCUCUCCCUGGGCACAGCACCCUUCCACCGGCUCCCGCCUGCCACCAGGGCUGUGAGGCUCAGCAGGUGAGGCUGGGCAGGAAUCAGGAGUCCCCACGUGUCCUCCCUCUCUGUUGGCCUCGAUUCUCACUGACUGGAUGCACAUAUCAAAUCUUGGGAACAGUAGGUAGUUUGAAAACAGUUUGAAAAUGCAUAUUCAACCUUUUUGAUUUUUUUUAACGUCAGGUCGCAACAGCAAAAAGCAAGUUUGACAAAGAUCUUCUUGGGGGUGGGGUGGGGGUCGUGGAGAAAUCGAGACAAAGGUGUUGAAGAUUUGGAAACGCUGCCUUAAGAAUGUGGAGACAUUGAGUAGUGAAAAUGAGGUGCUUGGUGUGAGUGUGCGCCGUUUUGUGGGUGCUGAGGUGUGUGGGUGCAGGUUGGCAGCUGUGGGUCCCUCGUGUGCGCACUGCUGAGGCCCCUGUGUGAUUGUCUAGGUCUGAACGUAUGCGCCGCGCUGUCUUGUCUGGAUGGAGAGGAAGGAUGUGCCAUGGGGGGAGGAAGGGACAUCUUUGGGUGGGAGGCCAGGGUGGUCCUGGCCUGAGGACGCGAGGUGGGAGCCAGCCUUCUCCGUGUCCACUGCCCUCGGCCGACUGGACCAGCAGAGCUCAUGGUCAUUUAAGGUGCUGGCUGGGUCAGGCAGCUGUUUGGGUGGCAGGCCACCCGGGGCCGAGAUGGUGUGGGCCUUCCAGGGGGGCCCUGGGAGCUAUUUUUAGUGGUCUGGGCUGACUCCCAAAUCCUGCUGACUAUUUCUGGCCCCAGAAGACUGCCCUGAAGGAUGUGGAAAAUUUUCGUGUCAAGAAUGUCUGAUUUCCCUUUGGCUAUGCAAGGGCAUUGCAGAGAGACCGGGACAAAAGGCUGGAGGCCCGAGGGCUUCUGGGAAAAUUCACUGGCACUGAGAGCAUGAAAUGCCAUCUUCCUGCCCUUUGGAGACUACCAUGGACUGUUAAAAACACCAGCGUCAUUAUGGGCGACCGUCUGGCCCGGGUUGCCUCCGUGUCUCAGUUUAGCACUAGAAGCCUGGCAUCCGGGACACCCUUCUGACCCAGGCCAACGGGGACGGUGGUCACUUGAGCUCCGCUUCAGCCUCUUUUAGUUCUAGAAGUGAAAUUAAUCAGAACGAGAAUUGAACUACCCGCAUCACCUUCCAGAAUGUUCUCAAUCAUCACAUACCGGAGGUGCUGUUUUCACCUCCAUUUUCACAUCAAGAAACUCAGGCACAGAGCUGCGAGGCAACUUGCCUAGUGCAGAACAGCCAGUGAGUGUGGGGCCAGGGUGUAAGCCCUGCUGCUCUGGAGCGGUAAGCCUGCGGCCGGCACAAAGAGGGGCUUUGCAGGCGGGAGAACCUGGGUUCAGCCCCUUCCUAGCCAGACACUUAAACUGGGAUAAAGACACCGAUUUAGCCAGACUGUCAUGGGGGUUAAAUGAGAAAGUGUGGUUGCAUGCAGCCUGAACUAGCAGGCGCCAGAAGUAACAACUCGGGGCCCAUGGCUCUCCCUUUGGGGAUGGCAGCCCGGCUGUGUGGACCCCCCUGCCAGCUGCACCACGCGGCACCUGGGUACCAGAGACCCCCUACUUGCCGCUCUCUGGGCUCCCUUGCCAGGUAGCGAGGGAGGGAAGCGACAUGGGUGGGGCAAGAGAGCCGGGGCCUGCGAGCCACCCGUCCCAGUCCUGCCCUCGGUGCCCUGGGCGUCCUUGCUCGCCUCUGGCCUCCACUGUCUUCAGCGUAGGGUGGGCCAGUGGGCCUGCCCUCGCGGGGGCGGGCACGGACACUCCGUGAGGCCUGCUCCCCCGCAGCCGCCCCGCAAGGCUGGUCCGGAGCCGGGCGCUGGGAGGGCCCAGGGUGCGGACGUGCGUGUGCGGCGGGGGCGCGAAAGGAGGGGAGGGGAGGGGAGGGGAUGCGCGGCCGGGGGCGCUGUUGCGGGGGGCCGGCCGCGGUCAGCGGGCAGGCCGGGCCCGGGGCCGGGGGCCGCCCGGCCGCUCAACAAUAGGGCCGCCCGGAGGGACCGUGCCCGGGGAGUGUAUGUGCGUUUGUGCACGGGUACCCUGGGGGAUGCUGAGAGGCAGAACGGGAGAGCAGGGAGAGGACCCCUCCAUGGGUCCACCCGCGUCGGCCGGGGCCGCGUCAUCUCGUCUAGUCCCCAUGGCGGCCCUUGGAGGAGGCCCUCGCAUCCCGGGCGUGGGCAUCGCUCAGGGAAGGCCCUGCUGGCUUCUGCCUGCUUCCAGCGCUGGGUCUGGGACCGAGGCUGGGCUGCAGGCGUGCCCAGCCUUUGACGAGAGACCCGAGCUCUGCCCCCAGGCCGGAGUAAGGCUGUGGGCUCAGCAGCAUCCCUGUCUUACAGGCGGGCGGCAGAGGCUCAGACUAAGGUGCCUACCCACCCUGCAAACACCUAUUUAUUAUACCAAAAAGGAUUUAAGCUCCUAAAGAAAGGAAGCCAGGAUCCGGCCUUUUUGUUCAGUCUGCCCAGAACCCAGUGUUUAAAGUUAGACCCCUGGAGCCAGUGGGCACUGUGCUCCUGCUCCCUGGGAAGCGGCAUAAACAACCAGCUUCAGUUGCUGGGACAUGUGCCCCAACCCAGGGGCGGCCCAGGACGGCGAGGCCCACCCUUCUGAGGACAGCCCCUGGCUCAAAUCCAGCGGUGGCCCUCGGGCCUGGAUCACAGCGUGGGCGCUGGCGGCUCUCUGUUCUCUUCUCCUGAUGGUCUUUCCAUUUUAAAGAUGAGGAAAUGGAGUCGCCAUGAGCCUCACCCAAGGUUAAGUCGUGUCCAUGGGGAAGAUUUCAAAGCAGCCAGGAUGUGAUCUGUGAUGAGUGGCUUCUCUCCAGCCCCACCCCAGUCUCCUGACUCUCCGUUGGAGGAACUGAUGCCAUCAGUGUGUCACGUGGCCAGCCUUCCUCCGCCGGCUUCGAGAGAACGAGGGCUUGAGGCGUGGUGCAUGGAAGGAAUUAGCUUCUCUCCUCUGCAUCCCGAGUGGUACCGGUUAUGAACCAUCCUUCGGUGAACUGAGCCUUUGUCCCUUGUGUCAUUUUCCGCAUUCUGUGCCAGAUCCUGACCCCCAGCUGGUCGGUUAAACCAGCCCUUCCAUACCUCUCUUUCCCCUUCCUCUAUCUCGGAGAGGGCGCAUUGUUAGCGUGCACACCUGCCUCUGGGUUCCGGCUGUGUGGUACCCCACGGUGGGUGCGUGUAACUCAUAAUGUGCCUCCUCUGACGGGCAUGCAGUUCGCUCGAGUCUUUUGCGUGUGUGCUUCCAUGGUCGUUUACAU
This 3353-nucleotide long non-coding RNA is filed under the name Equus asinus (donkey). Its description in RNAcentral is "lncRNA (ENSEASG00005036664.1)". Lineage: Eukaryota; Metazoa; Chordata; Mammalia; Perissodactyla; Equidae. The record is from RNAcentral.